This 441-nucleotide ribosomal RNA is filed under the name uncultured bacterium. RNAcentral describes it as "partial 16S ribosomal RNA". It matches the Rfam family "Bacterial small subunit ribosomal RNA", at positions 338 to 795 of the family's 1533-position model. The record is from RNAcentral.
CCUACGGGCGGCAGCAGUGGGGGAUAUUGCACAAUGGGGGAAACCCUGAUGCAGCGACGCCGCGUGGGUGAAGAAGUAUUUCGGUAUGUAAAGCUCUAUCAGCAGGGAAGAAAGAAGACGGUACCUGACUAAGAAGCCCCGGCUAACUACGUGCCAGCAGCCGCGGUAAGACGUAGGGGGCGAGCGUUAUCCGGAUUCACUGGGUGUAAAGGGAGCGUAGACGGUAUGUCAAGUCAAGGGUGAAAUCCCCGCGCUCAACGUGGGAACUGCCUUUGAAACUGGCAAACUGGAGUGUGUGAGAGGAUAGUGGAAUGCCAGGUGUAGGAGUGAAAUCCGUAGAUAUCUGGAGGAACAUCAGUGGCGAAGGCGACUAUCUGGCAGAUAACUGACGCUGAGGAGCGAAAGCGUGGGUAGCAAACAGGAUUAGAUACCCCAGUAGUC